Long non-coding RNA from Hypanus sabinus (Atlantic stingray), 2084 nucleotides. RefSeq lists it as uncharacterized. The record is from RefSeq and is a predicted model, not a curated record. The transcript is spliced from 3 exons. NCBI's taxonomy places the organism in Eukaryota, Metazoa, Chordata, Chondrichthyes, Myliobatiformes, Dasyatidae.
CAGGAACUACAGAGAUAAACAAGGCCUGUUGGGACCUUCUGCAGAGUUUGAGAUCAUGAGAGUUGUUACUUGUGCUCAGCAUUCAGCACAAUGAUACCCUCAAUUCGAAUCAACAAGCUCCAAAACCUAGGCAUCUAUACCUCCUUCUGCAACUGGACCCUUGGCUUCUUCAUCAGGAUACACUGUCAAUGUGGAUCAGAAGUAACUUUCGCUCCUUGUUGGCAGUCAACACUGAUGCACCUCAAGGUAGGACAACUCCAGAGUUAUUGAACAUGUUGGCCAACAUAGUCGCUUUGAAACUGCCAGAGAUUUGGGGGCAAAAUGCCAUUGCGUGGUUUGUACAAGUUGAGGCCUAAUUCGAGAUGCAAGAAAACACUGCGGACCACACCAAAUUCUACUAUGCGGCAGCAUCGCUCAGAAACUCCAUGGCUGCAUAACUGGUGAGUCUACUAGAAUAUCCACCUGAACAUAAUAAAUAUUGAUUGCUGAAAACUCACCUUUUACAGACUUUUGAGUCUGAGCGUGCCAAACAGUUGCUCCUCUUGCCCGGCCUUGGUGAUGCCCAGCAGUUGGAGCUAAUAGACCACAUGCUUUCUCUCCUGGGAAUUCCCCAUUCUUGUUUUAUUUUUAAAUACCUCUUCAUGCAGCAAAUGCCUGAGCAAGUUCACAUAGCCCUCACUAAUGCAUCUAUGAAGGGCUAUCGGGAGCUUGAUGAAAUGGCUGAUAGAAUAACAGUGCACCUUUUGCUACCUUCCAUCAUGGUGUACAGCACUCUUGAGCUCCUGUAGAUAUACAUUCUGCCCUGUUUGUUGUAAGCCCCAUGAUGCAAUCCAACAUCCCCUUAGGUCCCCUUUCAAUGGCCUGUUCUACAUUUUGGAACAGAGAAAACAAACUUUUUUCAUAGAUAAGAGGGGUAUAUCUGAGUGUGUUUCGGUAGAUUGCUUCAAACUGCCCCACCAAGUAUUGAAGAAUUCUGCUACCAUGCCCCUGCCAUCAUGACAUGACCAUGAGCAUGUCAACACACCUCUAGACAAGUCAGAGGCACCUGCUGUUCCUCCACCCAUGAAUCAUAGGACUCAAGCCAAGCAGCUCAUUCAAGCUCAGAAUGCCAGUUUUAGUAAAUACUUGGGAGGGGGGUCUGUGUAGGGUAACGUAAUUGGUGGAAACGUACAGAAUUCACAGCCACUGACAUUGAGUUGAGGUUCAUUUUAAGGGGCCGGUUGACAUGAUUACAUAAUUAUGUAAAGUACUUUUACCGUGCAUUGUAUUCAGUAUUGUGCAGUUCAAUAAACGAGAUGGUACAGUUUUUUUCUUAAACAUAAAACUCCUCAAGUUAUUUUAUUUGCAAAAACCUACAAAGGUAUCAAAGGUUACAGGGAAUAGGCAGGAGAAGGGGUUGAGAGGUAUAAUGAAUCAGCCAUGAUGGAAUGGCAGAGCACACAAUGGAGCAAAUGGCCUAAUUAUGCUCCGAUGUCUUAUGGUUGUGCAGACUUGGGCUUUUCUCUCUGGAGCAAAGAACACUCAAAAUACAUCAUAUUCUUAUACCCUUAAGAGCAAAGAUGCUAAUUGUGAUUCCAUACAAUUUGCAUUGUGACAAUGACAUCAUUUCCUUCAAUAUUUUGUGUUUGACAAAUGUUUCCUUUGAGGUCCAUAUUUACAGUGGAAGCACAUUGUAAUUGAUAAUACACCUUUGCUGGGACUAACUAUUUCACACAGAUAAUCUAAAAACUUCUGAGGCCAGAGAGUCAGACAGCCAAGAAUAGUGUUGUGAGGGCUGAAUCUCCAACUAUUUAUAGAUCAGUUAUUUGAUGUGCUAAGUGGUAAUAUAUGUCCAGUCUGCAAGCUUCCUUGAACUUGUUUACAAUUGUACAAAUUACUUAAGCCCGUUGUUGCCUGGUAAUGCAGACUAAUUAACAUAUAAAUGCAUUUUAAGUGAUGUAUGAAAAUGUUUCAUGGUCACUUUACUUUGUAAACCGUAUCUCUUACCAGUCAUCCCCCUGCUGAUGUGUAUUUAAUAUUUAAGUGAUUUUUGAGUAAUGUUGUAAAUGUACUGUUUAAUUAAGCAUUUUUGUUUGUUUACAUAA